GGGCCCGUAGCUCAGUUUGGCUAGAGCACCUGUUUUGCACUCAGGAGGUCGCUGGUUCGAGCCCAGUCGGGUCCA
This 75-nucleotide transfer RNA is filed under the name Candidatus Kaiserbacteria bacterium CG10_big_fil_rev_8_21_14_0_10_47_16. Its description in RNAcentral is "tRNA-Ala". It matches the Rfam family "tRNA". Rfam says of the family: Transfer RNA (tRNA) molecules are approximately 80 nucleotides in length. Lineage: Bacteria; Candidatus Kaiseribacteriota. The record is from RNAcentral.